CAUUACCGAGUUGAUUCGAGCUCCGGCUCG
Molecule: ribosomal RNA, 30 nt
Filed under: Botryosphaeria dothidea
Lineage: Eukaryota; Fungi; Ascomycota; Dothideomycetes; Botryosphaeriales; Botryosphaeriaceae
Description: partial 18S ribosomal RNA
Source: RNAcentral